CCUACGGGAGGCAGCAGUGAGGAAUAUUGGUCAAUGGGCGGAAGCCUGAACCAGCCAAGUAGCGUGCAGGAUGACGGCCCUACGGGUUGUAAACUGCUUUUAUACGGGAAUAACGCGCCUUACGUGUAGGGCUUUGCAUGUACCGUAUGAAUCAGGACCGGCUAAUUCCGUGCCAGCAGCCGCGGUAAUACGGGGGGCACGGGCGUUAUCCGGCUUUAUUUGGUUUAAAGGGAGCGUAGGGCGCAUCUCAAGCGGGCUGUGACAUGUCCGGGAUCAACCCGGGCCUUGCAGCGCGAACUGGCGUGCUUGAGUCCGCGGAAGGCAGGCGGAAGUCGUCGUGUAGCGGUGAAAUGCUUAGAGAUAACGAAGAACCCCGAUUGCGAAGGCAGCUUGCUGCAGCGGAACUGACGCUGAUGCUCGAAAGCGCGGGUAUCGAACAGGAUUAGAUACCCGAGUAGUC
RNAcentral lists this ribosomal RNA (460 nucleotides) under uncultured bacterium. Its description in RNAcentral is "partial 16S ribosomal RNA". It matches the Rfam family "Bacterial small subunit ribosomal RNA", at positions 338 to 795 of the family's 1533-position model. The record is from RNAcentral.